RNAcentral lists this unclassified non-coding RNA (427 nucleotides) under Hevea brasiliensis (rubber tree). The record is from RNAcentral. Lineage: Eukaryota; Viridiplantae; Streptophyta; Magnoliopsida; Malpighiales; Euphorbiaceae.
GAAAUUUUCUCUCCGUUGUAAAAGAGAGCGACUCGCAAAAAGACCUUACACAGCAACAGCAACAGCAAAAUCCCAUCCAAUAAUGGCGUCGAUUGCAGCAGCUUCUACUUCCAUGGCUUCUACUGCCGUUUUUACUACUCAUUUAUCACUUUGCUCCACCGCUAAAGCCGCCUCAUUUUGCUGCUCUGCCCUACCUUAUCUUCCACCCCGUGUUUCUGCUUCAGCCAUUUCUACUUCCUUCAAAUUCUCAGAAUCCAAAAGGUCUUCGCUCCACCAGGUUAAAGCCUCUUCAUCUGAAGAAACUUCUGUUGAUACUAGUGAAUUCAUAACAGAGCUAAAAGAAAAGUGGGAUGCUGUUGAAGACAAGACGACAGUGCUACUUUACGGUGGUGGGGCAAUUGUUGCAGUUUGGAUAUCUUCAAUUCUU